RNAcentral lists this ribosomal RNA (305 nucleotides) under uncultured bacterium. RNAcentral describes it as "bacterial SSU rRNA". It matches the Rfam family "Bacterial small subunit ribosomal RNA", at positions 335 to 656 of the family's 1533-position model. The record is from RNAcentral.
UUGCCUACGGGGGGCAGCAGUGGGGAAUAUUGCACAAUGGGGGAAACCCUGAUGCAGCGACGCCGCGUGAGUGAAGAAGUAUUGCGGUAUGUAAAGCUCUAUCAGCAGGGAAGAAAAAAGACGGUACCUGACUAAGAAGCCCCGGCUAACUAUGUGCCAGCAGCCGCGGUAAUACGUAGGGGGCAAGCGUUAUCCGGAUUUACUGGGUGUAAAGGGAGCGUAGGCGGCGAUGCAAGUCAGAAGUGAAAGCCCGGGGCUCAACUCCGGGGCUGCUUUUGAAACUGUAUGGCUAGAUUGCAGGAGAG